This 1501-nucleotide ribosomal RNA is filed under the name uncultured bacterium. Its description in RNAcentral is "bacterial SSU rRNA". It matches the Rfam family "Bacterial small subunit ribosomal RNA". The record is from RNAcentral.
AGAGUUUGAUCAUGGCUCAGAUUGAACGCUAGCGGGAUGCUUUACACAUGCAAGUCGAACGGCAGCACGAGAGAGCUUGCUCUCUUGGUGGCGAGUGGCGGACGGGUGAGUAAUAUAUCGGAACGUGCCCAGUAGCGGGGGAUAACUACUCGAAAGAGUGGCUAAUACCGCAUACGCCCUACGGGGGAAAGGGGGGGAUCGCAAGACCUCUCACUAUUGGAGCGGCCGAUAUCGGAUUAGCUAGUUGGUGGGGUAAAGGCUCACCAAGGCAACGAUCCGUAGCUGGUUUGAGAGGACGACCAGCCACACUGGGACUGAGACACGGCCCAGACUCCUACGGGAGGCAGCAGUGGGGAAUUUUGGACAAUGGGGGAAACCCUGAUCCAGCCAUCCCGCGUGUAUGAUGAAGGCCUUCGGGUUGUAAAGUACUUUUGGCAGAGAAGAAAAGGCAUCCCCUAAUACGGGAUGCUGCUGACGGUAUCUGCAGAAUAAGCACCGGCUAACUACGUGCCAGCAGCCGCGGUAAUACGUAGGGUGCAAGCGUUAAUCGGAAUUACUGGGCGUAAAGCGUGUGUAGGCGGUUCGGAAAGAAAGAUGUGAAAUCCCAGGGCUCAACCUUGGAACUGCAUUUUUAACUGCCGAGCUAGAGUAUGUCAGAGGGGGGUAGAAUUCCACGUGUAGCAGUGAAAUGCGUAGAUAUGUGGAGGAAUACCGAUGGCGAAGGCAGCCCCCUGGGAUAAUACUGACGCUCAGACACGAAAGCGUGGGGAGCAAACAGGAUUAGAUACCCUGGUAGUCCACGCCCUAAACGAUGUCAACUAGCUGUUGGGGCCGUUAGGCCUUAGUAGCGCAGCUAACGCGUGAAGUUGACCGCCUGGGGAGUACGGUCGCAAGAUUAAAACUCAAAGGAAUUGACGGGGACCCGCACAAGCGGUGGAUGAUGUGGAUUAAUUCGAUGCAACGCGAAAAACCUUACCUACCCUUGACAUGUCUGGAAUGCCGAAGAGAUUUGGCAGUGCUCGCAAGAGAACCGGAACACAGGUGCUGCAUGGCUGUCGUCAGCUCGUGUCGUGAGAUGUUGGGUUAAGUCCCGCAACGAGCGCAACCCUUGUCAUUAGUUGCUACGCAAGAGCACUCUAAUGAGACUGCCGGUGACAAACCGGAGGAAGGUGGGGAUGACGUCAAGUCCUCAUGGCCCUUAUGGGUAGGGCUUCACACGUCAUACAAUGGUCGGGACAGAGGGUCGCCAACCCGCGAGGGGGAGCCAAUCUCAGAAACCCGAUCGUAGUCCGGAUCGCAGUCUGCAACUCGACUGCGUGAAGUCGGAAUCGCUAGUAAUCGCGGAUCAGAAUGUCGCGGUGAAUACGUUCCCGGGUCUUGUACACACCGCCCGUCACACCAUGGGAGUGGGUUUCACCAGAAGUAGGUAGCCUAACCGCAAGGAGGGCGCUUACCACGGUGGGAUUCAUGACUGGGGUGAAGUCGUAACAAGGUAGCCGUA